RNAcentral lists this ribosomal RNA (723 nucleotides) under uncultured bacterium. RNAcentral describes it as "bacterial SSU rRNA". It matches the Rfam family "Bacterial small subunit ribosomal RNA", at positions 51 to 770 of the family's 1533-position model. The record is from RNAcentral.
UAACAUGCAGUCGAACGGCAGCACGGGAGCAAUCCUGGUGGCGAGUGGCGAACGGGUGAGUAAUAUAUCGGAACGUGCCCAGUCGUGGGGGAUAACGUAGCGAAAGCUACGCUAAUACCGCAUACGAUCUAUGGAUGAAAGCGGGGGAUCGCAAGACCUCGCGCGAUUGGAGCGGCCGAUAUCAGAUUAGGUAGUUGGUGGGGUAAAAGCUUACCAAGCCUGCGAUCUGUAGCUGGUCUGAGAGGACGACCAGCCACACUGGAACUGAGACACGGUCCAGACUCCUACGGGAGGCAGCAGUGGGGAAUUUUGGACAAUGGGCGCAAGCCUGAUCCAGCAAUGCCGCGUGCAGGAUGAAGGCCUUCGGGUUGUAAACUGCUUUUGUACGGAACGAAACGGCUCUUUCUAAUACAAGGGGCUAAUGACGGUACCGUAAGAAUAAGCACCGGCUAACUACGUGCCAGCAGCCGCGGUAAUACGUAGGGUGCGAGCGUUAAUCGGAAUUACUGGGCGUAAAGCGUGCGCAGGCGGUUUUGUAAGACAGAUGUGAAAUCCCCGGGCUCAACCUGGGACCUGCAUUUGUGACUGCAAGGCUGGAGUGCGGCAGAGGGGGAUGGAAUUCCGCGUGUAGCAGUGAAAUGCGUAGAUAUGCGGAGGAACACCGAUGGCGAAAGCAAUCCCCUGGGCCUGCACUGACGCUCAUGCACGAAAGCGUGGGGAGCA